This 451-nucleotide ribosomal RNA is filed under the name uncultured bacterium. RNAcentral's name for it is "partial 16S ribosomal RNA". It matches the Rfam family "Bacterial small subunit ribosomal RNA", at positions 354 to 796 of the family's 1533-position model. The record is from RNAcentral.
GUGGGGAAUAUUGGACAAUGGGGGGAACCCUGAUCCAGCCAUGCCGCGUGUGUGAAGAAGGCCUUUUGGUUGUAAAGCACUUUAAGCGAGGAGGAGGCUACCGAGAUUAAUACUCUUGGAUAGUGGACGUUACUCGCAGAAUAAGCACCGGCUAACUCUGUGCCAGCAGCCGCGGUAAUACAGAGGGUGCAAGCGUUAAUCGGAUUUACUGGGCGUAAAGCGCGCGUAGGUGGCCAAUUAAGUCAAAUGUGAAAUCCCCGAGCUUAACUUGGGAAUUGCAUUCGAUACUGGUUGGCUAGAGUAUGGGAGAGGAUGGUAGAAUUCCAGGUGUAGCGGUGAAAUGCGUAGAGAUCUGGAGGAAUACCGAUGGCGAAGGCAGCCAUCUGGCCUAAUACUGACGCUGAGGUACGAAAGCAUGGGGAGCAAACAGGAUUAGAUACCCCUGUAGUCC